This 48-nucleotide non-coding RNA is filed under the name Trichobilharzia regenti. Lineage: Eukaryota; Metazoa; Platyhelminthes; Trematoda; Strigeidida; Schistosomatidae. The record is from RNAcentral.
AUCCAGAUGACGAGUUCCAAAUAAGACGAAAUGCACAUUAUUCUGGAU